Molecule: ribosomal RNA, 244 nt
Filed under: uncultured archaeon
Lineage: Archaea
Description: partial 16S ribosomal RNA
Rfam family: Archaeal small subunit ribosomal RNA
Source: RNAcentral
UACCGGCACCUCAAGUGGUCGUCGCUUUUAUUGGGCCUAAAACGUCCGUAGCCGGUUUGGUACAUUCGUGGGUAAAUCAAGGCGCUCAACGUCUUGAAUUCUGCAGAGCUAGGGAGUGGGAGAGGUAGACGGUACUCGGUAGGAAGGGGUAAAAUCCUUUGAUCUAUUGAUGACCACCUGUGGCGAAGGCGGUCUACCAGAACACGUCCGACGGUGAGGGAUGAAAGCUGGGGGAGCAAACCGG